CCUACGGGGGGCAGCAGUGGGGAAUAUUGGACAAUGGGCGAAAGCCUGAUCCAGUCAUGCCGCGUGUGUGAAGAAGGCCUUCGGGUUGUAAAGCACUUUCAGUGGGGAAGAAAGCCUUGGGGCUAAUACCCUCGAGGAAGGACAUCACCCACAGAAGAAGCACCGGCUAACUCCGUGCCAGCAGCCGCGGUAAUACGGAGGGUGCGAGCGUUAAUCGGAAUUACUGGGCGUAAAGCGCGCGUAGGCGGUCUGAUAAGCCGGUUGUGAAAGCCCCGGGCUCAACCUGGGAACGGCAUCCGGAACUGUCAGGCUAGAGUACAGGAGAGGAAGGUAGAAUUCCCGGUGUAGUGGUGAAAUGCGUAGAGAUCGGGAGGAAUACCAGUGGCGAAGGCGGCCUUCUGGACUGACACUGACGCUGAGGUGCGAAAGCGUGGGUAGCAAACAGGAUUAGAUACCCCAGUAGUC
This 465-nucleotide ribosomal RNA is filed under the name Vreelandella stevensii. RNAcentral describes it as "partial 16S ribosomal RNA". It matches the Rfam family "Bacterial small subunit ribosomal RNA", at positions 338 to 795 of the family's 1533-position model. Lineage: Bacteria; Pseudomonadati; Pseudomonadota; Gammaproteobacteria; Oceanospirillales; Halomonadaceae. The record is from RNAcentral.